ACGAACUCUGGUAUUGAUUGGUGCUUGCAUCAUGAUUUACAUUUGAGUGAGUGGCGAACUGGUGAGUAACACGUGGGAAACCUGCCCAGAAGCGGGGGAUAACACCUGGAAACAGAUGCUAAUACCGCAUAACAACUUGGACCGCAUGGUCCGAGCUUGAAAGAUGGCUUCGGCUAUCACUUUUGGAUGGUCCCGCGGCGUAUUAGCUAGAUGGUGGGGUAACGGCUCACCAUGGCAAUGAUACGUAGCCGACCUGAGAGGGUAAUCGGCCACAUUGGGACUGAGACACGGCCCAAACUCCUACGGGAGGCAGCAGUAGGGAAUCUUCCACAAUGGACGAAAGUCUGAUGGAGCAACGCCGCGUGAGUGAAGAAGGGUUUCGGCUCGUAAAACUCUGUUGUUAAAGAAGAACAUAUCUGAGAGUAACUGUUCAGGUAUUGACGGUAUUUAACCAGAAAGCCACGGCUAACUACGUGCCAGCAGCCGCGGUAAUACGUAGGUGGCAAGCGUUGUCCGGAUUUAUUGGGCGUAAAGCGAGCGCAGGCGGUUUUUUAAGUCUGAUGUGAAAGCCUUCGGCUCAACCGAAGAAGUGCAUCGGAAACUGGGAAACUUGAGUGCAGAAGAGGACAGUGGAACUCCAUGUGUAGCGGUGAAAUGCGUAGAUAUAUGGAAGAACACCAGUGGCGAAGGCGGCUGUCUGGUCUGUAACUGACGCUGAGGCUCGAAAGUAUGGGUAGCAAACAGGAUUAGAUACCCUGGUAGUCCAUACCGUAAACGAUGAAUGCUAAGUGUUGGAGGGUUUCCGCCCUUCAGUGCUGCAGCUAACGCAUUAAGCAU
RNAcentral lists this ribosomal RNA (837 nucleotides) under Lactiplantibacillus plantarum. Its description in RNAcentral is "bacterial SSU rRNA". It matches the Rfam family "Bacterial small subunit ribosomal RNA", at positions 66 to 867 of the family's 1533-position model. Lineage: Bacteria; Bacillati; Bacillota; Bacilli; Lactobacillales; Lactobacillaceae. The record is from RNAcentral.